RNAcentral lists this ribosomal RNA (514 nucleotides) under uncultured bacterium. RNAcentral's name for it is "bacterial SSU rRNA". It matches the Rfam family "Bacterial small subunit ribosomal RNA", at positions 9 to 518 of the family's 1533-position model. The record is from RNAcentral.
GAGUUUGAUCAUGGCUCAGAUUGAACGCUGGCGGCAUGCUUUACACAUGCAAGUCGAACGGUAACAGGGAGCUUGCUCCGCUGACGAGUGGCGAACGGGUGAGUAAUGCGUCGGAACGUGCCGAGUAGUGGGGGAUAACGCAUCGAAAGGUGUGCUAAUACCGCAUACGAACUGAGGUUGAAAGUGGGGGACCUUCGGGCCUCACGCUAUUCGAGCGGCCGACGUCUGAUUAGCUAGUAGGUGAGGUAAAGGCUCACCUAGGCGACGAUCAGUAGCGGGUCUGAGAGGAUGAUCCGCCACACUGGGACUGAGACACGGCCCAGACUCCUACGGGAGGCAGCAGUGGGGAAUAUUGGACAAUGGGCGCAAGCCUGAUCCAGCAAUACCGCGUGUGUGAAGACGGCCUUCGGGUUGUAAAGCACUUUCAGGGGGGAAGAAAGGGUAAGUACUAAUACUACUUAUCAUUGACGUUACCCUCAGAAGAAGCACCGGCUAACUCUGUGCCAGCAGCCGC